This is a non-coding RNA of Parasteatoda tepidariorum (common house spider), 2213 nucleotides long. The record is from RefSeq and is a predicted model, not a curated record. Lineage: Eukaryota; Metazoa; Arthropoda; Arachnida; Araneae; Theridiidae.
AGGAUAUUAAUCUUCCUGAAAAGUGUCAAAAAGCAAUUCCUCGUGCAGGUAGGAUGCUUAAAUCCACUACUCAUGUUUACGUUUUGCACUUUCGUGAAGAUAAUAUCGAAACCCAUUAUCAAGUUACAUUACCUGGAGGGGUUUGGAAGCAAGAAAGGGAACGGCCUAGAUUGAAACCUUCUGCAACCCCUUCCAAAUAUCUCUCAUCGAAUAAGAGAAAAAGGAAACCUACUUCAAGAAAUAAAGCUAUAACUGGAAGUGAUGUCGCUUGCAACUGAAAUAUUCCGGCUGGUAAUAGAUUAUUUUUUUGCAAAUAAAAUAUUUUAGUUUUAAUAUUUAUAUGAAACAUUUUUAUAGAUAUAGCUUCAGCUUCCCAGCCACUUGAUUGUGUACCAUUUGACUUUCCGCACUUGAAAGAUAACAGCAGUCGUUUUCUUAGAAAAGGUUGGACAUAUUUUUUUGAGUAAUCAACUGGAUUUCUCUUUUGGAAUGAUGAUAGUCUGGAGAGGUGGUUAAUUGUAAACAAAGACCUUUAUGCUAAAAGGGCAGGAAAAAUAUCUUCUACAAAAAGAAAAAAUUAUGGCUCUCUACUUUCUCAACAGGUAAUUAGUGCUCUGUACUUCACCAUUUGAUUAUAGAGUGUGUUAUGCUACUUGAGAAUACCAACUUUUAUGUCCAUAAUGUCACAACUGAAGGCGCCUCUUGAAAUCGGAGCAUGUGGCACAAAUUUGGCAUCACGAUGGACAAUAGCUGUGAACACAUAUGUGGUCAGACAAGACAGAUGUGGUUCAUGUCAGACUUCCCACACCUUAUAAAAUGUUUUAGAAAUGCUAUAGUUAGAACAUAAAUACAAUGAUGGACCAGUGUCUUUGAAAUUUUGGGAUGCUGUUGUGGAAAGUGACAAAUCAAACCAUUACAACUUGAAGGUUUGUACCAAGCUGACUGCUGACCAUGUUAGGCCCAAGCAUUUUCAAACGAUGAGUGUGGCAAUGGCUUUUCAGUAGCAGUCAGCUUUUAUUCAAAGUUUUCGCUGCACACAUGCUAAAAGUACAGGUAAAUAAGAAACAUCUUCAGGCAGACCUCAUGAGUAAAACAGAUAGGAUAGUUCUACUGAAAAACUUAUCAAAUAUGGCUGUAAAAUAUAAAACUCCUGAUAAGAAACUGUUUGAAAUAGCGAAAUCAUAAAAUAAGUGAAAAAAUAUACAAAAUGCAUGCCUCCAAAAGACGUUUACCAGUACACAUUCAAAGCCUUCGCUGCACACGUGCUAAAAGUGCAGGCAAAUAAGAAACAUCUUCAGGCAGACCUGAUGAGUAAAACAGAUAAGAUAGUUCUACUGAAAGACUUAUCAAAUAUGGCUGCAAAGUAUAAAACUCCAGAUAAGAAACUGUUUGAAAUUGUGAAUAUUUUAGAAACAACUCACAAACGUUCAGUAGAUAUUCUAAAAGGAAUCGCGUUCUGGAAGGACUUUUUAUCCAAGACAAGGAAAUGAUAUGUACCCUGAGAUAUUAUUUUUUGAUGGAACUUACAAGCUGAUUGACCUGGGAUUAACUUGCUACAUAUUUUUGGUAGAAGAUGGUAAUAGUAUGUUGAAAACGUUAUUUUUUUAAACAUUUUUAUUUCAUAAUAAACAUUUAUUAAUUUUAUUUCACAUGCCUAUUUAAAAAAUAUUUUGCCCAUACCUAUUGAGAUAUUUUACAGUUCUUAUUUUCUUGCUUUACAUAUCUAAGCAUUAUAUAAAAUAAAAUACCUUUUGCGUGUGUCACGGCAUGACAAUGAUUAUGACAUAUAUAUAUAUAAUUUUAUGUAAACACCACAUGUGUUUGCCAGUAAUUUUUAGACUUAGGCAGAUUAUGUAUAUGGAGAUAUAGUGGUGGCGCCCCCCUCUUCUGACCGUAUCCUAACAAACCUCGCUUGUGCACAGCUUAAUGCUAUUUCAAUAGGCUUCUUAGUGUGUUCAAGUAUUUUUAUAAAAAAAUAGAUUUCUUUUAGUAGAAAACGGAUUUUUCUGGUAAGAAACAGUUCAUAUUAUUAAAUUAAGAAGGUGUGAGUCUGAAAAAAUUAGUUAAUAUUAAUAGAAACGUUUUUAUUUAAUGCUGAUUGCUAAGCCUUGUGAUUUAAGUUUUGUUUACAUUUCGACAGGUUCAUAUGUAUAUACAAACAUAUUAUAUUUGUCAUUUUUGUUAAACAUGGCGUGGAAAGCAGUUACAACUUU